RNAcentral lists this ribosomal RNA (364 nucleotides) under uncultured bacterium. RNAcentral describes it as "bacterial SSU rRNA". It matches the Rfam family "Bacterial small subunit ribosomal RNA", at positions 29 to 418 of the family's 1533-position model. The record is from RNAcentral.
AACGAACGCUGGCGGCAGGCUUAACACAUGCAAGUCGAACGGUUGUAGCAAUACAGCAGUGGCAGACGGGUGAGUAACACGUGGGAACCUUCCUAGGGGUACGGAACAACUCAGGGAAACUUGAGCUAAUACCGUAUACGUCCGUGAGGAGAAAGAUUUAUCGCCCUUAGACGGGCCCGCGUAGGAUUAGGUAGUUGGUGGGGUAAUGGCCUACCAAGCCUACGAUCCUUAGCUGAUCUGAGAGGAUGAUCAGCCACACUGGGACUGAGACACGGCCCAGACUCCUACGGGAGGCAGCAGUGGGGAAUCUUGCGCAAUGGGCGAAAGCCUGACGCAGCGACGCCGCGUGAGGGAUGACGGCCUU